RNAcentral lists this long non-coding RNA (1229 nucleotides) under Equus caballus (horse). Its description in RNAcentral is "lncRNA (ENSECAG00000055969.1)". Lineage: Eukaryota; Metazoa; Chordata; Mammalia; Perissodactyla; Equidae. The record is from RNAcentral.
GGCUGAGGUGAGCUAAAAAGAAACAUGUGACAUAACCAGUUUCAUCAUAGAGUGACUUUCAAAAAGAAAACACAGCUAUUUAUUUUCUGAAAACAUUGCAAAUACUUAUAAAUAAUAGCUGGUUCCUAUUUGGACAGUAAUUUAUUUCUGGUAUUUUUAUUUCAUGUAAGAGUGUAAUGACAUUUUUCAGACUAACUUUUGGGCAUUUGUUACAUGAGAUCACAGAAUUAGAAGCACUGGUGGUGGCCAUCCCAAUAUUGAUACCAUGCAGAGUUCUCUGCCCUAACCUCUUGAACCCACCUCCUUCCUUCUUGAACUUGCCAACCAAUGAGAGGGCAACCUGGGCAGUGUCCACACUGAUGGUUGUUCAAGUACCUCCAAAAUGGCAUUUUAACGUCACACCGCGUUAUACAAACACACUGAACUUGUGAAAGGUUUGUACUUACCAGGCUGCUAUGGUCUACGCUUCUUUUCAGUAGAGUCUGUAAUUCAAACUUUCAAAAACUUUAAUUGGCCUCUUGCCUUUCCUCUCAGUCCAAAUGUGUGGAGUUUUACCAUAAAACUGAAAUGAGGAAAGCAGAACUCAUCCACGGAUAGAAAUAGUGUCAGUUCUACCUGUUGCGCAGAGAAUUCUGACUUCCAGGGAUGUUACGUUGGAUGUAACUAAAAUGGCAUUUGAUGGAGAGUGAUUCAAAAACAGGGUGGGGGAGUUGCAGGCAGGCGUCCAAGAGAGGCGUCUGAGCAGGGGAGAGGUGGGCCACGGGACGCUUCUGGGAGCGGCUCACAGGCUUGGACCUGCAGCCUGCGGCGCCCUGGGAUAUGGGUGUGCGCAUGCGCGUGCGCGUGAUUAAAGCCUCGGGGAAGGCAUUUGAAGCCCCUGAGGUCUCAAGGUGAUAAAGUCAACACGCCAGCCUGCCAAAAUGUGCAGUCUGAAACGGACCUAUUUCUCACCACACACAUGAGGAUACCAUUCCUGUUCAAAUAUUUAUUUGGGCUUGCAUUCCGAAACGACUUAUUCCUCUGUUAGGUUUGGGCACUUCCCCAUUCCUUUCUCUCUCUUUUUAAGGUUUUAUGAAGAUUUCCUUCUCAUUUGUUCUAAGGGAUUUAUGUUUUAUUCAUUGAAAUAGUAGCUGGAGCCUGAAAAUGAUGGAUUCAGGGACACAUAAAUGAAAGGUUAUAGAAGUUUAAAUUGUUAAACGCAAGUCAUAUAGUUAUAUCCUCACCUCACC